RNAcentral lists this long non-coding RNA (7231 nucleotides) under Zostera marina. Its description in RNAcentral is "long non-coding RNA (ZMAR_LNC002603)". The record is from RNAcentral. Lineage: Eukaryota; Viridiplantae; Streptophyta; Magnoliopsida; Alismatales; Zosteraceae.
AUCCCUAAAUUAAUUCAUAUCCUUGGAUCCCAUUCAUGUGUGAAUCCCUCGGUCCAGUCCAUCCUAUGCUAUCGCUUAUCCUGAAAAAAUAUCAUUCGUGGUAAGUUUCAAAACUUAGUACGUGGAUAUCUAUUAAAUCUAUUAGUUCAUAAAUUCUUCCUUUUCCUUUACAUGGAUCAUCGGUUAACCCUCCCCAUGCCGUCAAACCCCGUCGGGUCAUAUAGCCUCGUCAGGCCCGUUAAGUUCCAUUCGUUCCUUGUAUCGUCAAAUCCCUAAGGAUCCGUAAAUUCGUAUAAUGGCAUAAAAGAAAAUUGGGAGAUCGCAUGGUCUAAUAAAAACCCAAAAUGCACAAAAAAAACCAAAGGUGAUGUAAAACCUUAAAUAAUAAAAUAGUCAGACCCACCUAUCGAUUUUAUUGAUUAAAAUCGAUUCGAUGAGCGUCCCAUGUAGGUGUCCGAGCCUUAAGCAAGUGCUUCUAUAGCCCUAGGGCAGCGUGAAUCCUGAACUUGGGAUCUUAUGGAGUAAAAUCCGCGAUUUUGGUCCCGUGUUCUUAAGGAUUCGUUGCUGUCCAGCAGCUCUUAUGUGCCUGAAAUUAACAUGGAAACUAGAGCAUCAAACAUGCAUAACCUAGGAGAAAAGGAACUUGCAACUUCGUUGCUGUCCAGCAGCGUUUGUGCGCCUGAAAACAACACAAGAUGGAUUAUAAAACCAACAUCCAUCCGGAAUAAAGACUAGCAACUACGUUGCUGUUCAGUAGCAUUUAUGCGCCUGAAUUAAAACAGAAAUAGCGACGAAAAUCCGCAAUAAUCAGAAAUAAAAACUUGUAAAUUCGCUGCUGUCCAGCCACAUUUAUGCGUAUGAAAACAGCAUGAAAAUAGAGCAUAGGCCAGCAUCAAUCAGGAAUAAAGACAAACAAUUCUGUUACUGUCCAGCAGCAUUUAUGCACCUGAUUCAAACCAGAAAGCAGAGACGAAAACUCGCAAUAAUCCGGAAUAAAAUUUAUCAAGUCAUGGCUGUCCAGCCGUAUUUAUGCGCUUGGAAUCAGCACUAAAACAGAGCAUAAAACCAACAUCAAACGAGAAUAAAGACUUGCAACUCCGUUACUUUCCAUCAACAUUUAUGCGCCCGAAUCAAAACAAAAAUAGAGUAACACCGUAAUAAAACACUAGCGAAAAACUAAAAAUCGGGAAUGAAGACUAGCAUUGAAUAUUGUGAAGAUCCUCUUCACCCCUAAGCCUAGGAGUGUUAACAUGACUACAAUUAUUAAACCGUGGAACACCAAAGACUAGCAUAACAACAACAAAAACGUUACCUUCUUGCACCAUUUCACCUCAUCUCUAUAACAUGACCUUUCAACUACAUAUACUACUAAAAGAAUCUUAUACCCACGUACCUUGAUCACUUCUUUAACCUUUUCUCUUCCCCUUCCAAGCCCUAGCCGAGAUCCUUCCCUUCCUCCUCCUUCAAUUUGCGUUUCCCUCUUCUUUUUCUUUUUCCCUCUUCUCUUCCCCCAAUGUAUUCUCUUAAAUCCUAAUUCCUCUCCUCCAACCGUUCCCCCUCUUUCCUUUUUCUCCUCCUCAAUUACUUCUAAAAAUACAGAAUAUUCUCCCCUUUUUAUUUGACUCAAUUGCCCCUAAUUCAAAAUAUUUAUAUUCUGAAUUUUCUUUGACUUAAUUGUCCCCAAUUUCAAAUCCUAUUUCCAAAUUUCAAAUCCUAUUUCCAAAUUUCAAAUUUAAAGUUUCAAAUUCCCAUUGACUAAAUUACCCCUAAUUUGAAAUCCUAUUUAUUUUCUUGUUUAAUUAACCUUAACCCCUAGUCGACUAGCAUACUUGACUAGCCUAAUUGAUCUUAACCCAACAGGUUAGACCGAGUUGCCUUAUUUUUUGUUAAUUUUUUCCCCAAGGCUGCUCCUGUCGUUAGGGUUUCCUUUUCCUAUUAAGACCCCAAUUUUCAGAAUAUUACAUUCUUUCCCCCUAAAACAAGAAUUUCGUCCUCGAAAUAUUAUUAUGUAAUUGACGUACCAAAUAGAUCUGGGAAUUUCUCCCGCAUCUUCUUCUCGUCCUCCCAUGUUGCUUCUUCUGGUCCAUGGUGUUCCCACUGGACCUUCACCAUCUUUAUUGUUCUUCCCCGUAGUUGUCUUUCUCUAGUUUCCAGAAUCUUAGUGGGUCCCUCUUGAACAGAUAGGUCAUGCUCGAAGUCGAACAUCUCGUAUCUCAGUGUGUGACUCGGGUCUGCUACGUACUUGCGUAGCAUGGAUAUGUGGAAGACAUCAUGUACCUUUGCCAGUUGUGGUGGUAGUGUCAACCUGUACGCAGUGUCCCCUAUACGCUCUGAAAUUUGAAAUGGUCCUAUGAAUCUUGCGCUUAGCUUUCCUUUUAGUCCGAACCUCUUAAGCCCUUUGUUCGGAGCUACUUUCAGAAAGACGUGGUCUCCUUCCUUGUGCUGCAAGUCUCUCCGCCGCUUAUCCGCGUAACUCUUUUGUCUACUUUGUGCUGCUAGCAGUCGUUUCCUAAUAAUCCCAAUGUUUUUGUUUGACUCCUCCACCAGAUCUGGUCCCGAGAUGUGUUUUUCACCCACCUCUGCCCAACAUAAUGGUGACCUGCAAGGUCGUCCGUAUAAUGCUUCGAAAGGUGCCAUUUCAAUACUUGUAUGAUAGCUGUUAUUGUACGCAAACUCCACCAAUGGUAGUUGUUCUUCCCAUCCCAUAUCAAAAUCCAUAACGCACGCUCUCAACAUGUCCUCCAGAGUUUGUAUUGUACGCUCUGAUUGUCCAUCAGUUUGAGGAUGAAAUGCCGUGCUCAAUUUAAGCUGUGAGCCCAUGGCCUCUUGUAGGCCUCCCCAAAACCGCGAAGUGAACCUUGGGUCCCAGUCUGAUAUGAUGGACGUCGGUACUCCGUGUAAUAGCACAAUUUCCUGAAUGUACCUCUUUGCCAUCUCCUCUACAGUAUAUCCGACGCGAUAAGGAAUGAAGUGAGCCGAUUUCGUCAGGCGGUCCACUAUUACCCAGAUGGCGUCAUUCCUUCUUUUACUCUUUGGUAAUCCUACUACAAAGUCCAUGGCAAUGUGUUCCCAUUUCCAGGUGGGUAGUUCCAUACGUUGCAUUAAUCCUGCCGGCCUCCCAUGUUCUAUUUUGAUUCGUUGACAGAUCAUGCAUUUGGCAACAAACUCUGCAAUUUCCUUUUUCAUUCCUCUCCACCAUAAGUCCCUUCGAAUCGUGUGAUACAUCUUGGUUGUCCCUGGGUGAAUAUUAUAUUUAGAGCAAUGAGCUGCUUGCAAUAUUUCCCUUUUUAGUUCUGGUAUAUUUGGUACCCACAAUCUACCUUGUAUUCGCACGCCCUCCGGUCCAAUUGGCCCAAUCUUCUGGUGUGGCUUGGUAGUUGUUGUACGCCAUUCCGGUGAAUCUUGCAUCGACCUUUGGGCAUCUUUGAUUCUUUGUAUCAAUGCUGACUCUAUGUUGAGGUUUGCUUGGACCGUAUAUUGUUGUGUAGUGGUUGUUACAUUCAUGGAGAUCACUUCUUCCAUCAAUCUCCAUUCUCUCACCAACAUGCUUGCCAACAUUAUACUCCCCUUUCUGCUUAAAGCAUCGGCUACCGAGUUUGCUUUCCCCGGGUGGUAAUGUAUCGAGAACUCAUAAUCCUUCACAAAUUCCAACCAUCUUCUCUGUCGUAGAUUUAGGUGUUCCUGGGUGAAGAUGUAUCGUAGACUUUGGUGAUCCGUAUAUAUCCUAAACUCUUCACCGUACAAGUAGUGUCUCCAUAACUUGAGGGCGAAGACUACUGCGGCAAACUCUAAGUCGUGUGUUGGGUAGUUCCGUUCGUGGUUCUUUAACUGUCUGGACGCAUAGGCGACUGCGUGACCCCUUUGCAUCAAAACACAACCUAACCCAAUUCCCGAGGCGUCGCAGUAAACUUCAUAACCCUCGCUUCCCGAAGGUAGGGUUAACACUGGUGCCGUGGUUAAGGCUUCCUUUAGUGCUUGGAAACUCCCUUCACACUCACUUGUCCAUACGUACCUCACCCUUUUCCUAGUGAGAUGGGUGAGUGGUGCUGCGAUUUUCGCGAAGUCCUUGAUGAAUCGACGGUAGUACCCUGCCAAACCCAAAAAACUUCGAAUUUCCAUCACCGUUUUGGGUUGCGGCCACUGACUUACUGCUGCCACCUUGCUAGGGUCCACUGCUACCCCUUCCUUAGAAAUCACAUGUCCCAAGAAUGACACCCUUUCCAGCCAGAAUUCACACUUAGAAAGCUUUGCGAAUAGUUGAUUUUGACGCAAAACCUCCAAAACUUCUCGUAGGUGCCUCCGAUGAGUCUCCUGAUCAGGUGAAUAGAUCAAUAUGUCGUCCACAAAGACUAUGACGGAAUUAUCCAACUGCUUAUGGAAGACUCGGUUCAUUAAGCUCAUGAAUGCCGCAGGUGCGUUAGUUAGGCCAAACGGCAUCACCGUAAAUUCGUAAUGCCCAUACCUACUUCGGAAUGCAGUCUUGUUGAUAUCUUCUUCUCUUAUCCGUAGUUGGUGGUAGCCGGUUCGUAAAUCAAUCUUGGAAAAUAUUGCCGCUCCUUGAAGUUGAUCAAAGAGAUCGUUUAUUCUUGGCAACGGAUAACGAUUUUUAACUGUUAACUUGUUCAACAUUCGAUAAUCAAUGCAGAGUCGGAGGGUCCCAUCUUUCUUCUUCACGAAUAUCACUGGUGCACCCCAUGGAGACACGCUUGGUCUAAUAAAGCCCUUGUCUAGAAGUUCUUCAAGCUGAGCCUUCAGUUCCUUCAAUUCUGCAGGUGCCAUCCGGUAAGGUGCCUUGGAUUGAGGCGUCGCCCCCGGUACCAGUUCUAUCGUGAAUUCCACCUUCCGUUAUGGGGGUAGUCCAAACUCUUCUGGGAAAACAUCUUUGAAUUCUUGCACGACAUCCCUGGCAUGCAUGUUCCUCUGGCUUUCCUCGACUGAUACCGUCGUCACCAUUACUGCAUACUCAUCAUUAUUACUUGGGCGAUAUCGAGUCGAUGUGAUCGCCUUUUUCCUCUUGUUCCCAGUUAUGAACCAAGGCUCCGACCCGGUGCUCUUAACAGAAACUCGAUGUUGACGACAGUGAAUCGUCGCGUCGUGGCGUGCUAGCCAAUCCAUUCCCAGAAUGAGAUCAAAUUCUUCCAUGGGUAACCAUAUCAAGUUCGCUUCCAUUACAUGUCCCUCCACCACUAAUGCUACUCCGUGGUAUAUGCUGCCCGUAUGGAUCAUCUUUCCGAGUGGUGUAGCCACUCGGAACUCAUGCAUGUACUGUGAUGGCUCUAAACUUAGUGUUUUGGCAAAUCUAUAUGCGAUGAACGAGUGGGUCGACCCCGAGUCGAACAAUCCUCGCGCCAUGUGUCCCUCCACCAGGACUCGACCUGAUGCAGAGUUAUCAAUUCUAUGUUCAUACCAUAUGUCCCCCUCAACUCUCCGUAAUAUUAUAAGGAAACCAAAAAAAAAAACAAUUCGACAUACCUGUGAUGACCUCGUUUGUUGUUUCCACUCCAUCGUCUGUAAUAGCAAAUGCUCUUGCUGAUACUAUUCGACGUUGUUCCUCAGUCCCUCGAGCAUCCAUUCUCCGAUCAGUUGAAGGAUCCACAGGCCUUUCCUGUGCAGCUCCCUUCUUCCUACCCUCCUGACAGUCCUUCGCAAAAUGACCUUGUCCUCCGCAAUGGUAGCAUGCCCCGAUUGCUUGUAACAAGGUUUAUUGGGGUGCAUCUUGUUACAAUAGCUGCAUGGUUUUGCCGUCGUAAUCGCCACCGCCUGGCUUUGAGAAUUUGGGCCCAUCUUUGAUUUCUUUCCUCCUCCGGGAUGAACCGCCUCAUCUGAAGGUUUCUUCCGACUCUGAGAUCUUUUGAUUUCCUUUUCUAAGCUAUCGGCUAGUGCGGUUGCCUCGGUCAAUGUCUUGAUUCUCGCUGACAUGACUUGCAUCUUAAUGCUACUGUCCAGGCCAGCGAUGAACUUCCUUGUCCGUUCUUCCUCAUCUUCGCACAAGGUUGGAAAGUGUCGUUCCAGUCUGACGAAUCGGGUGGCAUAUUCUGGAACUGACAAUGUCCCUUGACUCAGACUCCGAAACUCGUCCUUUAGCUCAUCCAUCAGAUGCCUUGGUAAAUAUUUCUCCUUGAAUUCCACUUUGAACGUUUCCAAAUCUACUUCAUCAUCUUCCGGAAACUUAACAUCUUUGGUUCCCGUCCACCAUUCCAGUGCAUCCUCUUGUAACAUGUAUCCUGCGAAAUCAACCUUCCUUGUUGCUGGGCAUCGUAGUAGCCUGAAACAGGUUUCGAUGGAUCGGAGCCAAUUUAUGGCUUUGGUGAUGUCGCAUCCUCCCACAAAAGCCGGUGGAUGAGUUUUCAUAAACUCUGCGAACGUUACUUCUCUCUCAACUGGUAGUACCAGUCUUCGUGGAGGCAUCUAGGAUAAGGAUGCACCUUAUUAGUUCCAGAAAAUCUGUUUUAUGAUCAGAGUUUAUUCAAAGGACGUAAAAAUAUGUACUACUUAAUUUGUCAUUCCAUACAUUCCCUAAAUUUUCAUUUACCUUACCCAUGGUCUGGACUGGAUCUGGGUUCUGAAUUUCACACAUGAAUGCACCGAUAGAGUUUGUUGGAGUGUAAUAACCAUAAUUUUUCCUUAAUUUAAAACUUAAAAUGUUACCCUCAAAUUUAACAUAACACUCAACAAGAUCCAUAUGCCCGAGUGGGCAUACACCGAAAACAAAACAAAAUCAAGUGCUAGCGGAAAACAAAUAAAUCCCUAAAUUAAUUCAUAUCCUUGGAUCCCAUUCAUGUGUGAAUCCCUCGUUCCAGUCCAUCCUAUGCUAUCGCUUAUCCUGAAAAAAAUAUCAUUCGUGGUAAGUUUCAAAACUUAGUACAUGGAUAUCUAUUAAAUCUAUUAGUUCAUAAAUUCUUCCUUUUCCUUUACAUGGAUCAUCGGUUAACCCUCCCCAUGCCGUCAAACCCCGACGGGUCAUAUAGCCUCGUCAGGCCCGUUAAGUUCCAUUCGUUCCUUGUAUCGUCAAAUCCCUAAGGAUCCGUAAAUUCGUAUAAUGGCAUAAAAGAAAAUUGGGAGAUCGCAUGGUCUAAUAAAAACCCAAAAUGCACAAAAAAAAACCAAAGGUGAUGUAAAACCUUAAAUAAUAAAAUGGUCAGACCCACCUAUCGAUUUUAUUGAUUAAAAUCGAUUCGAUGAGCGUCCCAUGUAGGUGUCCGAGCCUUAAGCAAGUGCUUCUAUAGCCCUA